GGAAAUAGUUUUUAUCUCAGCCCUCUGAUUCUAGUUGGUGUUAGUUUUCAUUUUUUCCUUUCUAAUCUCUGGCCAUUGCCACUGGGAGUGGGGGGUGAGUGAACAACUGCGUGCUUCUAAGCUGCCUGCCAGGUUAAACCACAACAACUUAAAAGUAAUAUAGAAGCAGGAAAGCAGCAAUUUUGUUCAUUUUAUUUUUGAGAAGUUGCAACAUUUAUCCAUGCUUUGCUGGCUUUGUGGAGCCCUGAUGAAGUGCCUCCAAUAAGCAAGCAAUGGCAUCUAAAUAAUUUAAGGGAACAUUCACAGCAUUAUAAUGACUACUAACCCAUCUGAAGAGUAAAGGUCAGUAAAUCUAUUAGGGUUCUUGUGCUUUGCCUUGCUGAUAUUUCCAAUUCUGUUAGCUCAUUUCCCUCUUAUUUUUAAGAAAGGCUGUACAAUUUGACCUUGAAUUGAUUAGUGGCUUAUACCUUUAAUUGUACUGCAAGCAGCAGUUAUAAAAACACAAGAAAGACGAGACUACAUAAACAUUGACAAACUUUUUUAGUUCAGUUUUAAUUAGCAUUUCCUCGGCUAAUUGUGGUCCAGUAGACUAUGCAACAUCACACAAUCAGCUAUAAUUGUAUUCACAUCAGAAAUUGUUUAACAGGUUUGUGACCCAUUAAUAAAUUAAAUUCAUUUAGCAAUAUGGCACUCAUCGCCCAACUUUCACUGAAAGCAUUCAGCUGCAGAAGUUCAGUGCACUGGCUAAAAGGUAAGAGGCACAGGCUUCCCUUCAUUGUUUUGAUACUGCCUCAUGCUAUAACCACAAGCUCAGUCUUCCUGUGUCAUUUGUUUUCUGUCUGUAUCGGUGCUAUUGAAGAUAACAGGAAAAACAACAACAACAACAACAACAAAAACACUCUUCUUUGAAGAUUGCUGGCAGCGAAAAUAAAUUGCUCAAUAUUAUGAGGAUUAGAAUUAGUAUUUCUGUUGGAUCAAGGACAAAAGUCAAAGAAAAUUGAGAUUUAUGAACCUCACAAUAAGUUGUUUGGAUUGAAGCUGGAGGAGCAAAAUAUUCUUCUGCUAAAAAAAAGAGAAAGUUGGGGGAGGAAAAGCAACUGCUGGCAUUUGUGAUGCAGAAUCCAGCUGUUUGAAACUAGGACUGAAAGAAAAGCAAAGUGCAUCACAUAUAAUCCAAUCAAGUUGACACCUCUGAUCUCCAUUUAAAGGCUACGUGUGACAGAAAUGUUUGAAAUUCUAUAUGAUUUUUUCCCUAUUUUUUUCUGUUUGAACAAUGGCAACAAUUCAAGAGAAUAUGACAAAGCAGUAAAA
Molecule: long non-coding RNA, 1311 nt
Organism: Gallus gallus (chicken)
Lineage: Eukaryota; Metazoa; Chordata; Aves; Galliformes; Phasianidae
Source: Ensembl